AGUGAACGCUGGCGGCGUGCCUAAUACAUGCAAGUCGAACGGACAAGUAAGAGCUUGCUCUUAUGAGUUAGUGGCGCACGGGUGAGUAAUGUAUAGCUAAUCUGCCCUACACUAGAGGACAACAGUUGGAAACGGCUGCUAAUACUCUAUACUCCUGUCUUACAUAAGUUAGAUAGGGAAAGUUUUUCGGUGUAGGAUGAGGCUAUAUUGUAUCAGCUAGUUGGUGAGGUAAUGGCUCACCAAGGCUAUGACGCAUAACUGGUCUGAGAGGAUGAUCAGUCACACUGGAACUGAGACACGGUCCAGACUCCUACGGGAGGCAGCAGUAGGGAAUAUUGCUCAAUGGGGGAAACCCUGAAGCAGCAACGCCGCGUGGAGGAUGACACUUUUCGGAGCGUAAACUCCUUUUGUUAGGGAA
Molecule: ribosomal RNA, 418 nt
Filed under: Campylobacter concisus
Lineage: Bacteria; Pseudomonadati; Campylobacterota; Epsilonproteobacteria; Campylobacterales; Campylobacteraceae
Description: bacterial SSU rRNA
Rfam family: Bacterial small subunit ribosomal RNA
Source: RNAcentral